This 75-nucleotide transfer RNA is filed under the name Anaerolineae bacterium. RNAcentral describes it as "tRNA-Gly". It matches the Rfam family "tRNA". Rfam says of the family: Transfer RNA (tRNA) molecules are approximately 80 nucleotides in length. Their secondary structure includes four short double-helical elements and three loops (D, anti-codon, and T loops). Further hydrogen bonds mediate the characteristic L-shaped molecular structure. tRNAs have two regions of fundamental functional importance: the anti-codon, which is responsible for specific mRNA codon recognition, and the 3' end, to which the tRNAs corresponding amino acid is attached (by aminoacyl-tRNA synthetases). tRNAs cope with the degeneracy of the genetic code in two manners: having more than one tRNA (with a specific anti-codon) for a particular amino acid; and 'wobble' base-pairing, i.e. permitting non-standard base-pairing at the 3rd anti-codon position. Lineage: Bacteria; Bacillati; Chloroflexota; Anaerolineae. The record is from RNAcentral.
GCGGGUGUAGCGCAGUGGUAGCGCAUCUGCUUCCCAAGCAGGUUGUCGUGGGUUCGAAUCCCAUCGCCCGCUCCA